This 881-nucleotide small RNA is filed under the name Histoplasma capsulatum var. duboisii H88. RNAcentral's name for it is "Histoplasma capsulatum H88 hypothetical RNA". Lineage: Eukaryota; Fungi; Ascomycota; Eurotiomycetes; Onygenales; Ajellomycetaceae. The record is from RNAcentral.
AGGCAGCCUCCUUGAUUGCAAAUGCCAUUUUUCUGGCCUUCAGGGUUCAUAUCACCGAACGUAUCCGAUGACAUACUUUAGUUCCUGUUGGGCGUUUGGAUUGGUUCGUCCCUUCUACUGCCAGCAUGGCACUGCUGGUGAUUGAGCUCUUUUGCCCCAUUGGCCUAACAGUUCCCUCUUUAUUCUAGCAUUGCUCACAAAAAUGUAAUGUGGUUGGUGACGUAGGCAGGUUGGAGGAUCUGCUGUUACGCACUGGUGAACAAAAGUCGUUCGAUUCUCCGGCCCUCUGCUGGGGCGCUUGGUGACAGUGGACGUGGUAGGUGUCAUCUCGCUGGUGCCGGCGUCACCAUUGAACUGGAUGUUGUUUACGCCUCGGUAACCCGGUGAAUAUGGUGGUCAGAUACUUUCUCUGUCAGAACAUUGCCAAGCAAGUUGAGGAGAGUAAGAUCUGUGCUCUCACAAUUACAAUGAAAAGAAGUGAUCCUAUGACAGCUCUUGCAUUCAUGGGCGAGAAUUCUGAUUGUUGGUUGUUCUGGGCAGUGUUGGAUUGAUAGCCAUCAUUGAAUGUGCUGCCUUCUGCAGUCUCACUGGGCAUCUGGGUGGCUUCAUAUCUGAAACUAUGUAUUCAAGAUUGUUGAAUUUCUAAAUUCCUUUAUUUAUGGUCUUUGAUAUGCUAAUUUCUUGCUAGACCCUAAUAAUAAUAAGUCCCUCCCAUCAGGAGUGAAUGUGUAAAUACAUUUGUUCAAUAUGUACAUCUCCUCUCAUCAGUGGCUAUUGAAGCACAUGAACAUGCAUGUUUGUGCAUGCAAAGAGAAGUGAGCACAUCCAAAGCAUCCCAAGAUUGCAACAUCCCAGGGUUCCUUUUGCCCUGAAUACCACCC